AUUGAACGCUAGCGGGAUGCCUUACACAUGCAAGUCGAACGGAUUGGCGAUCGGGUGAGUCAUGUAUCGGAACGUGCCCCGUAGCUGGGGAUAACUACCCGAAAUCGUAGCUAAUACCGCAUACUAUUUGAGCGCCCGUUAUCGGAUUGGCUAGUUGGUGGGGUAACGGCUCACCAAGGCGACGAUCCGUAGCUGGUUUGAGAGGACGACCAGCCACACUGGGACUGGGACACGGCCCAGACUCCUACGGGAGGCAGCAGUGGGGAAUUUUGGACAAUGGGGGAAACCCUGAUCCAGCCAUCCCGCGUGUGCGAUGAAGGCCUUCGGGUUGUAAAGCACUUUUGGCAGGAAAGCGGUACCUGAAGAAUAAGCACCGGCUAACUACGUGCCAGCAGCCGCGGUAAUUC
This 407-nucleotide ribosomal RNA is filed under the name uncultured bacterium. RNAcentral describes it as "partial 16S ribosomal RNA". It matches the Rfam family "Bacterial small subunit ribosomal RNA", at positions 30 to 526 of the family's 1533-position model. The record is from RNAcentral.